This 292-nucleotide ribosomal RNA is filed under the name uncultured bacterium. Its description in RNAcentral is "partial 16S ribosomal RNA". The record is from RNAcentral.
GGACUACCGGGGUUUCUAAUCCCGUUCGCUCCCCAUGCUGUCGUGUCUGAGCGUCAGUUGCGAGCCAGGGCGCCGCCUUCGCCUCUGGGGUUCCUCCGGAUCUCUACGCAUUUCACCACUACACCCGGAAUUCCACGCCCCUCUCUCGCACUCUAGAUGACCAGUCUGGCAUAACCCCGCCCGGUUGAGCCGGACGAUUUCAUACACCACUUGGUCUUCCGCCUGCACACGCUUUACACCCAGUAAAUCCGGAUAACGCUCGCCACCUACGUUUUACCGCGGCUGCUGGCAC